CAGAAUUUUAAGAUAUUUUUAGUAGUUAAUAUUGAUAAAUUGUAUAUUUUUAAGAAAAAUUAAUUGAAAAUAUUUGAAUUAAUUAAAUACUAUUGGUUGAUAGUUAUUGAAAAAUGUAUAGUGAAAUAAACAAUUAGUUUAAUUGUAAACAUUUAUUAUAUUAUUAAUAUACGUGCCUACUCUAUAAAAUCUUUUUUUUCAGGAAUACUUUGUAAUUCGUGGAUUUUUAAUUAAUCUUUUUUUUUUAUUUUUUAAUUCAUUCACUUUUAUGUAAUACUUAGAGCAGGUCUACCACGGGUUUUAAUGAUGAUUCUAACCCAAUAAAGGAAAAAAUAAAUGAAAAAUGGAAAAAAGAGACAGAACUGAUCCUUUAUGUGAAGGCUGUAGAAGCGGUAAAAACCCCAUACAUGGCGGGUUCAGAUUGGCUUGAGGAAAGGUGUGCUCUUCUCUUCUCUUUCGUAUUCGGUUUCUUUCUCUCUUCUUCGAUAUCGCCGAUAUAUCUUCUCAUUUCUCUCUUCGUCGAUGUCUCAUCGCCGCUCGAUCUUCGCCACCGGCUCGUCGCCGGUCGAUCUUCGCCGCUCUCUCUGCGCCGCUCUCUCUGCGCCGCUCUCUCUUUGUCGAUCUCUCUUCCUCGAUCUCUCUUCGUCGAUCUCUCUUCGUCGAUCUCUCUUCGUCGCUUUCUCUCUUCGUCAUCGUCUUCGUCCAUGAUUCCAUCUCUCUCUGGUUCGAUUCGGUCGCAAUCCAAUAGUCGGUUGGUGACUCUCUUCGUCUCCGUCCCUGUCGAAAUCUCCAAGGGAGAUGAUGAUUGAUCCGUUUCUCUCUUCGUCGGUCUUCUCCUCCAAAGGCGUCCAUCCAAUCACCGUGAAGGUUAUGUUUCUUCAAAUUAUUUGUUCCCGUGAAUUUAAUUCCUUCAUUUAGAAUCAAAUAUUUUGUUUCGAUUAUGAGUUUUGACUCUGUUUUUCUUCUCUAUUUGUCUCUCUUAUUACAUGGAGAGAGGAAGAACAAAGGAGAUAUGUCCCUGAUAAAAACUUCCUAAUAGACGUUCUAUCUACAAUCAACUCAACAGACUACAACGUGAAGAAAGAUGUAAAAGCAUAUGGCAAAGUUGAGAAAGAAGAUGGAUUUUGCUCAGUCCCGGCUUGAAAAAUUCACAAGAUUCAUUGAAUACCAUCAGGCGUUAAAGAGAGUAGAUAUACUGAAGAAGCAGUAGAAAAGGUAUCAAACAGCAUCAAAGCGGAUCAAACAUCUACAAAGCUUUUAAUGCGUGUGGAAGACAUGGGACAGAAGAGUAAUGUUGUGUUUUGUACUCGUGACAGAAGAAGACAAUAUGUCUGAUGUAAUAAAAGUUGUUGUGUUUUGUAUCCCGUGAACUAACAACUUGUGUGAUAUGUUUCACGUCUGUUUUUAAGUUGUACCGAACCUUGUUGUACCGAACCGUGAAGAGUAGUGUUGUGUUGCAACUUGUCUUUAUAAACUUAUGAGAAACAAAUCAAACUUGUGAGAAACAACUUGUCUUUACAACUUCAGAUUUUCUAGUUCAUGUUUCAUCUCCUUUAUUAUCUUUCUACUUCUAAACGACCAAAGAGAAAACAACCACAAAACAAAACAAAACAAUUUGUUCUUCACAUUGUUUCUUCUCCUUAUUGUUUCUUAUCUUUAUUGUUUCUUCACAUUUCUUCACAUGUGAGCAAAACAAAAUAAUUGUCUUUAAGAAACAAUUUGGUCUUCACAUUUCUUCACUUAUCUUUUUUAAAUGGCAUCUUCUUCUUCUAAUAAUUUCGACGAAAUGGAUGAAAGAUUUGAUCAAAUUUUCGAUCAGCAAUUCGAAAAUCUCCUCAUUCAUCAUGAAAAUCGCCAAGAAGCACCAAGGUCAAAAAAGAAACGAGCCUACAUUGAAAGACAACGAGAACAAGGACACAUGCAGUUAUGGAACGAUUAUUUUAGUGAAGAUGCAACAUAUCCUUCUCACAUGUUUUGACGCCGUUUUCGAAUGAACAAACCCUUGUUCAUUCGUAUUGUUGAUCGACUCUCCGCUGAAAUCUCAUACUUUCAACAAAGAAGAGAUGCUACGGGAAGGUUCGGUCACUCCGCGUUACAAAAGGCAACAACAACAAUUUGUAUGAUGGCAUAUGGUUGCCCAGCUGACGCGGUCGACGAAUACCUCCGACUUGGUGAGACCACCGCGCUGUUAUGCUUGGAACAUUUUGUUCAAGGAAUCAUAAAUUUAUUUGGAGAUGCGUAUCUAAGAAGACCCACGCCCGAAGAUCUUCAACGACUACUCGAUAUUGGAGAUAUACGCGGAUUUCCCGGGAUGAUAGGAAGCAUUGAUUGUAUGCAUUGGAAGUGGAAGAAUUGUCAGACCGCAUGGAAAGGUCAAUAUACACGUGGAUCAGGAAAGCCAACAAUCGUUUUAGAGGUUGUAGCUUCACAAGACCUCUGGAUAUGUCACGCAUUUUUCGGACCUCCAGGUACAUUAAACGAUAUCAAUGUUCUUGAUCGAUCACCGGUUUUUGAUGGUAUAUUACAAGGUCGAGCUCCAAAAGUUAAUUACAUUGUCAAUGGACACGAGUACCAUUUGGCUUACUAUCUCACAGAUGGUAUUUAUCCAAAAUGGGCUACUUUUGUCCAAUCUAUUCCACUUCCGCAAGGUCCGAAAGCAUCCUUAUUCGCUACACAUCAAGAAGUUGUACGUAAAGAUGUCGAGCGUGCUUUUGGGGUCUUGCAAGCUCGAUUUGCCAUAGUCAAAAAUUCCGCUCUUUUGUGAGAUAAAAUAAAAAUUGGAAAGAUAAUGAGAGAAUGUAUCAUUUUACAUAAUAUGAUCGUAGAAGACGAACGAGAUGGAUACACUCAGUUUGAUGUAUCAGUUUUCGCACAACCGGACUCAAACCGAAGUUCACAAGU
This is a long non-coding RNA of Brassica napus (rape), 2901 nucleotides long. RefSeq lists it as uncharacterized. Lineage: Eukaryota; Viridiplantae; Streptophyta; Magnoliopsida; Brassicales; Brassicaceae. The transcript is spliced from 4 exons. The record is from RefSeq and is a predicted model, not a curated record.